Molecule: ribosomal RNA, 254 nt
Filed under: uncultured bacterium
Lineage: Bacteria
Description: partial 16S ribosomal RNA
Rfam family: Bacterial small subunit ribosomal RNA
Source: RNAcentral
UACGUAGGGACCAAGCGUUGUUCGGAUUUACUGGGCGUAAAGGGCGCGUAGGCGGCAAUUCAAGUCAUCUGUGAAAUCUCCGGGCUUAACUCGGAACGGUCAGGUGAUACUGCUUUGCUAGAGUGCGGAAGGGGCAAUCGGAAUUCUCGGUGUAGCGGUGAAAUGCGUAGAUAUCGAGAGGAACACCUGAGGUGAAGACGGGUUGCUGGGCCGACACUGACGCUGACAGCGCGAAAGCCAGGGGAGCAAACGGG